This 489-nucleotide ribosomal RNA is filed under the name uncultured bacterium. RNAcentral describes it as "SSU rRNA". It matches the Rfam family "Bacterial small subunit ribosomal RNA", at positions 26 to 521 of the family's 1533-position model. The record is from RNAcentral.
AGAAUCAACGCUGGCGGCGUGCCUAACACAUGCAAGUCGAACGAGAAAGUGGGAGCAAUCCCAUUAGUAAAGUGGCGCACGGGUGAGUAACACGUGACUAACCUACCCUUGAGUGGGGGAUAACCUAGGGAAACCUGGGCUAAUACCGCAUAAUACCUACGGGUCAAAGGAGCAAUUCGCUUUAGGAGGGGGUCGCGGCAGAUUAGUUAGUUGGCGGGGUAAUGGCCCACCAAGACAGUGAUCUGUAUCCGGCCUGAGAGGGCGCACGGACACACUGGAACUGAAACACGGUCCAGACUCCUACGGGAGGCAGCAGUGGGGAAUAUUGGACAAUGGGCGCAAGCCUGAUCCAGCCACGCCGCGUGAGUGAUGAAGGCCUUCGGGUCGUAAAGCUCUGUGGGGAGGGACGAACCGCUGGGUAUUAAUACCAUCCAGCAUGACGGUACCUCCUUAGCAAGCACCGGCUAACUUCGUGCCAGCAGCCGCGGU